UUCUGCUUGCCGCCGGGUAAGCUAUAAGGCAUUGGUUUCGUAUCGUUAGGCCGUUGGAGAUACGAAAGCAAUGCCUUAUGUAUU
Molecule: non-coding RNA, 84 nt
Filed under: unclassified sequences
Source: RNAcentral